AAAUCCACAGAUACUAACAGAGAAGACAGAGACUGCCAGGCGAGUCAGCGAGAGCCUGAGUGAGAAGGUGGAAGCUGAGUGCCUGGAGGAGUGCCUGAGGUUCCUGGAGAGCUAUGAAGAUGAAGUAAGAAGCUUUCUCCAGCUUGAUGGCUGCCCACAGAUCUGCAGCAGCCUACGAAUCCUGGAGAAUUGCUGCCUUCUCAGAACUGUCUGGCAUAAGCUAACAUACAUUUGCAGUGUCAGCACUGACCAGAAUGUUAAGGUAAAUGGAUUUCUACACAGGAUGGAAGAUGACAUUAUGGAGCAUUUUCUGCAGACUAUCACUACUAAAGUCAAGGGAACACUGAAGGACCACUUCAAAAAGUGUGACAGUGGUUUUGACCACAUCCUUGAAUCCUUAAAGCAAAACUUUUUGACCUUUGGGAAGAAAAAAACUGAUAUAUAUGAGGCCCUUGUCAAGGCUGCCAAUGCCAUCAUUAUUACAGAAUACAUGCAGGCCCUCCUGACCACUCCCAGGAAACCAUCUGUUAUGCAGAGGAGGAGGAUUGUCAACAAGAUGGAAGAAGAUCAUAGGAUGAUGCAAGCCAUCUUUAAAGAGUGCUUAGGUCCUGCAGCUGGUUCUCUCAAGGAUCCCAUAAAAGCAAUUUUAGAGCUUGUUCAAACUUCUGAUCCUGAGGGGAUGAAAAUAGCACUUCUGCCCAUUCUAAAAGAAUUUCCAGACCUCAGGAAGGAACAUCUGAGUGCAGUGCUGGACAUGAAAGAUUCACUCAGCUGGGAAGACAGAGCUGCUCUCUUGAAGGCAUUUCAUGAUAAUUGCAGGGAAUUGGAAACAGAAGCAAACAUGCUCUUUGCAGAUAUAGAAGUGAAACCUAGCAAAUGUGGACUCUGUGGCUGCCUCUGCUGUUAGCAAAGGCCUGCUGGGAGAAACAUGAGGACUUGCUCUGUUGUGCCAGCAUCUGCAACCACAGCUCCUUGAAAGCUUCAUAUGCAGCUGGAUGCAUGGAGAAGCCUGUCAGCCAUGGAAGACAAAAUUCCUGCACUUUUGCAGGAAAACCAUGAGGCUCAAAUCCUAAUCUUAUAUGUAAAGUCCAGGAGGAAGAUAAAUAGGAUAUGGUCAAAAGACAUUUCUUCAAAAUUUCCUAGAGACUGCCAUUCAGCUGAGUCCUGGUGGUUAUUCCUGGGAUGGGGCAAGUGUGGAGGAGCAUUUCUCCUCACUGAAUUCCUCUGUUUCCGUCCCUUGUUCCAUGAAAUCUCUAAUGAAUCCAGGGACUGCUGCACCACAUGGUGUCCCAGCAUUGCAACCUCCCAAGGGAUU
This 1315-nucleotide long non-coding RNA is filed under the name Lonchura striata (white-rumped munia). Its description in RNAcentral is "domestica (Bengalese finch) lncRNA (ENSLSDG00000016796.1)". Lineage: Eukaryota; Metazoa; Chordata; Aves; Passeriformes; Estrildidae. The record is from RNAcentral.